UUUAUGUUUCAAGACAUUCAAGCAUUCAAAGUUCAAGAUUCAAAUAUUUUGAUUUGGAGGGAAAUAACUUAUUCUUGAGAAACAAGUUAGAAGUGGCUAUUCAAAGGCCAAGAAUCUCAUUACAAACACCAAAUUUCAUUACAAAAUCCAAAUUUACAAAUUACAUACAAAAACUAUUAUUUGGCCUAACGCUGACUUUUUGUCAACGGUUGACUUUUGGUCAAAUAAUUGACGAAAGUCAAACUGACUCAUAAUCCUACUUUUUCUCCAUCCUCAAGACAUUUCAUGUUUAUGCCUCCAAGUCUACAAGUCUCUAAAACCUAUUCAUGUCUUUGAUGCCAUGCCUCCAUAAUGUCAUGCCAAAACCUUAAUCAUGCCUUGCCAACCUUGAUAAUCCCAUGCCCAGUCUCCUUUAUGCCAUCAACCCUGCAGCAAUGUAAACCAAGUCAUGAUACAUAAAAUGAUUACGAUACACAUUACAAAAAUCAAGAUAAUGGUUCCAAACAAGUAAACCAAUUAAUAUCCAUUCAAAUAGCAUAACCAGUUCAUUAACUUAACCCAUUUCCAAUUCCAAAAUUCCAUAAUACGUUCAGCAAUUAACCUACAUUUCUAACUAUCGUACAUUGAUUAACAUUUGUUCAAACUCCUCCUAACAUCUAACAAGUUCAAUUCCAAUUCCUACUAACAUUUCCAUCCAAUCAGCAAUUCCAAAUUGCUAAAUUUCAACAAACUCCUAACAUACUAACUGUCACAACUCCAAUCAACACAUUAACUAACUUCUAACAGUUCAAUUGAAAAACUAACAUCAUCUAAAAGUUAUAAGUCAACACAAUUCCAGUUAGCAUAGCAUUGAAAUUAACAUCUACUGUAUAAUACCAUAACAUUUCCAUAGCAGUCCAUAUAUAAUUCAACUACCGAUUUCCAAGCCAAUUAACAUAACAAUUCAAGAACGUAACACUAAUAGUUCAUAUCAAUUUAGCCAAAUUUCUAACUACCCUAACACAUUUCAGUAACAAGUCAAUACCAAUACUAACUGACUUCAAUUUACUAACAAUUCUCACAUAGUUCACUUCUAUUCUAACAGUCCAACUAACAUUCAUAACAAUACACUAACCUAACUCUUUAACAUAACUAAUUAUCAUAGUUCACUAAUCAACUAACUAACACAUUCUAAGAUUCUACUAACACUUCUAACCAAACUAACUUACUAACAGAAUUUCUAACUGUCCAAAAUUCAAACUAACAGUUUAAACUAAUAGUGUUAACUAAUUUAACUACUUUGCUCAUGAAUUGAAUUAACACUAAAACCUGACUUAACCUUAAUAAUGUUUCCCUAACCAUAUUGGUUAUGAAAUAUCCAUCCAAAUUAGAUAUAUUUAAACUCCCUUCCUCAAUCAUCUUCACUCAUCAUCACUCACCCUCUGAUCAGAAUUCAUCGUAUCUCUGCAACUCUGUAAUUCUCUCACAACCUCACCAAGCUCACUUAAAGCUCUCCAUUCCUAAGUUUCAGAGCUUCAUCAAUGGAACCUCUGAACAAUUGAGAUAAGCAUCCUAUCUACACUCUUCACUCCCUUCUCAUAUCAACCACAAUAACACAACAAUUUUCAACAGUUCCUACGGACUACAUUCAGGAAAAGAAGAAGAAGACAUUGUUAUAAAAAGUUGAAGCAUCGAAGUGUUUAUCUGCUGAUACAUCUCUGGUAUUAUCUUCAUUAGCGUAUUCAAGCAACCUCAAUAAUUCCUAGGGCGAACCUCUGCCUUGUAGGUUGGAUCCUCUUCUUUUUACUUCUUUUUGCUUCAAGUUAGUUACCAAGAUGUAGAGGAAGAUGAGGGGAAUUGAAUACCCAAGGUUGUUUGCUUUGAUUCCGAUCCAUUGUGAUUUUAUUUAGGUUUGAGUGUGUUAGGGUUCUUGGUUCUUUUUGGUUCAAAUUCAGAAUCCAGUAAAAAUCAAGUGAAUUGGAGUUGAGAAAUGGAAAGAUAAGAGUAAGAGGGUUCUAUUGGUGGUGAAUAUGGUUGGAUCUAGGUUGCUUCGCCGCCUCCAGCGCGGUGGAGCGAUUUCUGGCUAAGGGUCAUAAGAGAUGGAGAAAGUGCAGGUUGGGAGUGGAGAUGGAAUGAAAGUGAGGUAUGAUUUCCUUUUUCCUUUGAUCCCUCAAACGCGUUGGGCUUCACCACAUUAAG
RNAcentral lists this long non-coding RNA (2178 nucleotides) under Lathyrus oleraceus (garden pea). RNAcentral describes it as "Pisum sativum (pea) long non-coding RNA (PSAT_LNC016465)". Lineage: Eukaryota; Viridiplantae; Streptophyta; Magnoliopsida; Fabales; Fabaceae. The record is from RNAcentral.